This 2963-nucleotide ribosomal RNA is filed under the name Rickettsiales bacterium. Its description in RNAcentral is "23S ribosomal RNA". It matches the Rfam family "Bacterial large subunit ribosomal RNA". Lineage: Bacteria; Pseudomonadati; Pseudomonadota; Alphaproteobacteria; Rickettsiales. The record is from RNAcentral.
UAAGAAGUAACAAAGGGUGUUUAGUGGAUGCCUUGGCAAUCAGAGGCGAUGAAAGGCGUGAAAGACUGCGAUAAGUCCGGGCGAGCCGUCAAUAUGCAUUGACCCCGGAAUUCCUGAAUGGGGAAACCCAAUCCUUUAUGGAUUAUCAACAACUGAAUACAUAGGUUGUUGAAGCAAACGCGGAGAAGUGAAACAUCUCAGUAACCGCAGGAAAAGAAAACAAUAGUGAUUCCCUUAGUAGUGGCGAGCGAAACGGGACCAGCCCAGUGGCAGAGAUAUUCGUUAGAAAAACGGGAUGGAAAGCCCGGCAAUAAUAGGUGAUAGCCCUGUAUUCGAAAGCGAGUAAUUCUGUCCAAGAGUAGAGCGGGACACGUGAAAUCCCGUUUGAAUAUGGGGGGACCUUCCCCCAAGGCUAAAUACUCCUGAUUGACCGAUAGUGAACAAGUACCGUGAGGGAAAGGUGAAAAGAACCCCGAAGGGGGAGUGAAAUAGACACUGAAACUGAAUACCUACAAGCUGUCAGAGCACGGCAAUUUAAUUUGCGUGGCAAAUUAAAUUGCCGUGUGAUGGCGUACCUUUUGUAUAAUGAGCCAACGAGUUAUUAUUGUAUGCAAGCCUAAGCCGUUAGGUGUAAGCGCAGGGAAACCGAGUCUGAAUAGGGCGAAUUGAGUAUGCAGUAAUAGACCCGAAGCGGGGUGAUCUAGAUAUGGGCAGGUUGAAGGUGUGGUAACACACACUGGAGGACCGAACACACUAAUGUGUCAAUAUUAGGUGAUGACCUGUGUCUAGGGGUGAAAAGCCAAUCGAACCCCGUUAUAGCUGGUUCUCCGCGAAAACUAUUGAGGUAGUGUCUUGGGUGUUCGUUGCUGGGGGUAAAGCACUGAAAUGGCUAGGGGGAGUAAAAUCUUACCAAACCAUAUCAAACUCUGAAUACCAGCAAAUUAUAACCCAGGAAACAGUCUGUCGGUGCUAAGGUCGGCAGACGAGAGGGCAACAGCCCAGACCGCCAUCUAAGGUCCCAAAGUGAUAAUUAAGUGGGAAAGUGAGUCGAGAUUCCAAAACAACCAGGAUGUUGGCUUGGAAGCAGCCAUCGUUUAAAGAAAGCGUAAUAGCUCACUGGUCUAAUUAAGAAUUUCGGCAACCAAAAUGUAACGGGGCUAAAAUUAUCCACCGAAGAUGCGGGUGUCAGCAAAUUGAACAAAACGCUUUGCGUUUUGUUCAAUUUGCAGAGUUAUGUCGGCUUGCGCCGACAGAGUUAGAGAGUGAGAGAGUAAGAGAUGGUAAAUCUCUGACUCUCAUACUCUAAUUUUGCGAAGCAAAAUCUUGACUCUUUUACUCUGCAAAUUGAACAAAAACGGAGUUUUUUGUUCAAUUUGUUGGCGCGGUAGCGGAGCAUUCUGUAAGUCUGUGAAGGUCAAGGCGCGAGCCAGGCUGGAGAUAUCAGAAGAGCGAAUGUUGGCAUGAGUAGCAGCUAAUCAAGGUGAGAAACCUUGACGCCGUAAGAGCAAGGGUUCCUAUCCUAUGUUAAUCAGGGUAGGGUGAGUCGACCCCUAAGGCGAGGCCGAAAGGCGUAGUCGAUGGGAACACGGUUAAUAUUCCGUGACUCGCGAGAAUGUGACGGAUUCCGUAUAUUGUGCAUCCUUAUUGGAUUGGAAUGCGCAGUGAAGGAGUUCCAGGAAAUAGCACUCGCAUAUGAAUCGUACCCAGAACCAACACAGGUGCUCGAGUCGAGUAGACUAAGGCGGUUGAGAGAACUAUGUUGAAGGAACUAGGCAAAAUGCAUCCGUAACUUCGGGAUAAGGAUGACCUCCUUCAAGGCAACUUUAAUGAGGUGACACAAACCAGGUGGGGGCGACUGUUUACUUAAAACCCAGGUCUCUGCUAAAUCGUACAAGAUGAUGUAUAGGGACUGACGCCUGCCCAGUGCUGGAAGGUUAAGUUGAGGCGUGCAAGCGCUGAUAUGAAGCCCCAGUAAACGGCGGCCGUAACUCUAACGGUCCUAAGGUAGCGAAAUUCCUUGUCGGGUAAGUUCCGACCCGCAUGAAUGGCGUAACGAUCUCCACACUGUCUCCAACAUAGACUCAGCGAAAUUGAAUUCUCGGUGAAAAUGCCGGGUACCCGCAGCUAGACGGAAAGACCCUAUGAAGCUUUACUGUAGGUUCGUACUGGCAUAUUGAUACAUUUGCGUAGGAUAGGUGGGACGCUUUGAAGUGAUGAUUUCGGUUGUCAUGGAGCGGUUGGUGAAAUACCACCCUUGUGUAUUGAUAUGUCUAACCCGCGUUCUUGAAACAGGGCGGGGGACAGUGCGUGCUGGGCAGUUUGACUGGGGUGGUCGCCUCCCAAAUCGUACCGGAGGCGCGCGAAGGUUUGCUCAGGCUGGUCGGAAAUCAGCCGGUGAGUGCAAUGGCAAAAGCAAGCCUGACUGCAAGAGGGACACCUCGAGCAGAGACGAAAGUCGGUCAUAGUGACCCGGUGGUCCCGCAUGGAAGGGCCAUCGCACACGGAUAAAAGCUACUCUAGGGAUAACAGGCUGAUGCUACCCAAGCGUCCAUAGCGACGGUAGUGUUUGGCACCUCGAUGUCGACUCAUCGCAUCCUGGGGCUGGAGCAGGUCCCAAGGGUAUGGCUGUUCGCCAUUUAAAGCGGUACGUGAGUUGGGUUAAUAACGUCGUGAGACAGUUAGGUCCCUAUCUACUGUGGGCGUUGGAUAUUUGAGCGAACUUGACCUUAGUACGAGAGGACCGGGUCGAACGAACCACUGGUGUACCUGUUGUCGCGCCCGCGGCAUCGCAGGGUAGCUAUGUUCGGAACAGAUAACCGCUGAAAGCAUCUAAGCGGGAAGCUGGUCGCAAGAUAAGAUAUCCCCAUGAGUUCAGUCCCAGACGAGGACAUUGAUAGGUGGCAGGUGUAAGUCCGGUGACGGAUUCAGCUUAGCCAUACUAAUCGAACCAUUGACUUUUUAUC